Molecule: long non-coding RNA, 14344 nt
Organism: Pongo pygmaeus (Bornean orangutan)
Lineage: Eukaryota; Metazoa; Chordata; Mammalia; Primates; Hominidae
Exons: 3
Source: RefSeq, a predicted model, not a curated record
GCCCUACCUCAGCAAGAAGACACCAAGUUGGCUUCUACUCCUGCUGAGAGGAGACCAAACUCUUGCCGAGUGCCCCCUGAGGGGCUUCCAGCUCCUCCUUUUCGGGCCUUCUCAGUUGGAUUGGAUUCCACAUUGGCGCUUACCUGAAUGAAAGAGGGAUCUGCUACUGGCACCCCACCGGGGAUCCCUGACCUGAAUCUCAAGCACGCACUAGGGUUCAUGAGCCAUCUGGCUUUGGAGAAUGUAAGCUCUAUAAGGGAAGGGAGUUUUGCCUGUCUAGUUCUGUAUCUGAAGUGCCUAGACAAAAGCCUGGCCUGAAGGAAGUGGCAAUCAAUUAUUCCACAAAGUAAUGAACUUCCCCAUCACAGCCCAGCCUAUGAACGGCAUGUCUGCAGUGACCACCUAAUGCCAAAGACACCAGGGGAGAUUUUGUCAGAGACCAGCUCGGCUACCCAAGCCUGCUCAGAGGUGACUUGAGCCAGUCUAAGAGAAACUGGUAAGGAACUGGUUAACAAGCCAUGUAUUACUAGAAAUGGCAGCACCAAGAUUCUUCACUUCAUGCUCCCCCAUGCCUGCACAAAACCAUAUUGCUGCUACCUGUGGAUGCUUAUUGAUUCUGUCAUUGCCCUCUUAGGCUAUCUUCCUGAAAGGCUCUCUGAAGUCAAGUAUAUGACAACGUUGGAUGUAACCUAAGGAAGGUAUUUUCCAUGUCAGAUGAGAACUGGGCGGUCGUAGAUUCUGGAACAUCCCAUUCCUCUGGCACCCUGAAGACAUGAUGAGCAAAUGCUGGGUAAAGGAAAAAGCCCAGACAGGACGUAGCCAGGGCACAGGACAAGUGAAAGGAGACUCAGUCACAUGUGGCCUGGACCUGAUUUGGCUGAGCUCAGUUUGCUCAACGUAGAGCUGCUCCUACCCAGGUCCUACUGCCCUGGGGCCAGGACUCUUGAGCUCACCCACGUUGCCAGGCUUCACACCAGGGAACUGACAGAAGCCCUCUGCUCUGUGGUCACUCCACAAACAAGAGUGAUGGUGGCAGUGGAGGGAUGGUGGGAGGGAUGGUGGCAGUGGACUUCUUUCUCCCAGUGAACUUGUAAUUCUGUCUGCUAUAAACUGGAUUACUUUCCCAAGAUGAAGGCAGUAGGGAUUAACAGAAACACAGGUGUUAAAGCGCUGUGGCAUCAGAACUUGGAAUUCCAGCUCUGCCACUCAGCUGGAUAAUCUUGGGCGAUCUCUUAACCUCUGUGUCUCAGUUUCCUCAUGUGUAAAAUGGGAUAACCACAGCAUCUGCUUUACUGGGAGGCUGAGGAUGAAAUCUGUUCAUUCUUAUGUGCUGAACCCAGCAUGUUAGAGCUCCAUGUUAGAUCUUGUUGCUGCUGUUGUUGUAAAAUAAAGGAAGUCAGCCCCUAGCCACUUGCUCAGGCUGGCUGGAGACCGCCAAGGUUAUCAGAGUCCUGAGGCAGUUGGAUUUCCAGUAAUUAAGGGAGUAGAAAUUAAGGGAGUAGAAAUACAGCCUUUCUCCUUUGGGUUUCAGAAUGAUGUAGACUCAAGCAAAACUAGCCCGGAUGGAAACUUUUCAGUGGCCAUGGGAAUUAUUCCAACGAGGGGCUGCCUGGGUUAAAAGUGUGACUCUGGAAAAGGAGGAAAUGGAACCCUAAAGCCACUAAAUCCCUGAGUUUAUAAUUAACAGACAAGCAUUCGCUCUGCCUGUUCCGGAGCCAUGUGCCUCGCCGGGGAAGGGCACCGUAGUCACACAAAAAUAACCCCCCAGUGGGUUUUUGAUGUGUUGAGCCUCUUUGUUUUUCUGAAUUUUAAUGAAGGGCUUUCCAGGCAGGAUAAGAGAAGCACUCAGCACUCCCUAUGGCUGGGGAGUGGGCCUUAGUUAGCUGCUGCCAGCCUAACCCAAAGCCGCAUCCAAGAGAAGCAGGCAGCGAAGGGGCUCUGUCCUCAGAUAAGAAGUCUCAGGGAGGAAAAGAGAAAAACAAAAACAAAAGACAUCUCUGUUUAGGAGAAGGGUGGGACUCUGCUCCUGAUCUCAGCACAUCUUGGAACCAGGCGGUUAUAAUACUUGCGGCGGUGGAGAUGGCUGCGACUUAUCUGAAAGGAUAAGGAGAAGGGAGGCCCAGGCUCUGUAAGAGAGGGCUUCCAUGGAAUUCUCAGGGCUGCUGGCUGGUCCCUUCCCAUGAGAAUCAGAAAUGAGGCUCUGGCAACCUGUAGAAGCUUUUGGAGCUCAAGGCAUGGGUUGCAGGAAGAAGGGAGAAAGGAGAAUAUUGUCACAACAGCCACCAAACCCUGAUGCGAGUGAAGAAUGGGUCUCCUUAUCCCUCCCACCGCCUCCUCCCUCCGCUGCAGCUGCCUGGAAUCCUAUGAUGCAGGUGGCAGUGCUGCGUCACUAAGGUCACAAAGGACCCAGAACACCCACGGGAAGGGAGGCCCCGCCCCAGAACCCCAGCAGGCAACUGUUUGAAACCUCCCGAGAAGUGAACAACUUUCAGUAGGAGUGCCCACUCCUUCUCCACCUGAAUCGAACUCUCCCACAUGCUCCGCAACAAGGCCGCGAGUUCUGAGUUCCUAUCAGCUGGUUUAAAAGCUGUUCUUCACUUGUGAUACAUUUUUCCAAGAAGAGACUGGAAAGAAAUGGAGGAGAUGGCACAGAAUAAACAAUUUAUUGCAAUUGAAUUAUCCAAUGUGGUUGACUGAAUAUAAAUAUUUUUAUUACAAAAUAUUCCAGGUAAAAAUUCGGAGCUGCUUACAAGCUUCUUUAGCUUUAAGCACAUUGCAUUUCUUCACGUCUAGAGCAUGGGUGACGGGCUCAGGUGUGCCUGGCCUGCCCCGCAGGGUCCUCCUUCUCCGUCUGCAGUGGGUCCCACUCAGUGAGGACCUCUGAGGACACCUCAGUGAACAGAUGGUCCCAGUCCCAGCCGACGUCAUCCUGCCAAGAAGGGUUUCACUGGGUAAGACAAAGAAAGGCCUUUUCCCUCAACUGUAGCUGACUUCUCCCUCCCAUCCAGGCCUCAGGGAGGCACAGGCCAGCCCGGGAGUCGGCUGGUUAUGGGAAUGCCAGAGCUGGGAGACCAGGGAAUUGCUGCCACCACUGUACCUCCCGGACUUCGUGCUCUGGCGUGAGCACUUUGGUGAGGAGUUUCAGGUCGAUCUCCCCAUCCUGUGAAUGCAAACAAAAAAAGGUCAGGCUGAGCACCUUGAGGGCUUUCAGGCAACUCUUUCUUGCAAAACCAGCAUCAGUUUUUGUAUGUCAGAACUUCCCAAACUGAGACCUGUAGGAAUGCCUUCACAAGAGAGUAAAAUCAUGAAUGAAAACACAUGCCCACUGAGAAAUGAGGAAAGGCUAUGCUUCCUACAUGCUGGGUGUGCUUUGGGGCAAAGGACCGUACCAGGAGGGCUGAGCGUGACAGCAGUAUAUCCACAGGGACAGAGGGGAGUGGGGUGCCAUCAGGUGCCAAGUGGGCAGCCAUGGAGGCAGGUGGGAGGCUGGCACUGAGAAACACUGGACUAUGUCGGGUCCAGGGUUGCUGUGAGAUGAACAAGGAUAAAACCUGCAGCAGAGGUAUGGGUGCCAGGCAGCCAGCCUUGGGGGACUGGUAGAGGUGCUGUAUAGCUUGGGAGGAACUGAGAAAACUCUGCGGAUUGAAGCCCAUUGCUUGAAGCCCGCCUCUCUACGCAGAAGCUGUUCCACUCACCAAUGUCUGAAUGGCUGAGUACUUCAUGAGGUCAUUGUCCAGGUCACGGUAGGUCAUCACCCGCUUUAUCUGGAUGCUGAAGGAAAGAGAGAACGAGAGGAGGGAACCCCAGGCAGGACCCGUUCCAGGAGUGCUGCCGGGCCCCCGUCCCCAGAGCCCUGUAUACAGCUGGGGAUGACCAGAAUGGGAAUAACAAAAUGGGAACCCUGGAUGGAGCCCAACACCAGAAAGAUCCAGAUUGACAUCAAGGUCCACCAUAGAUGAUAUCUGGAGUGUAUUAAUUCACGUGUUCUUUGCCUCCCCAGUCAUAUCCAAUUUAACCUACCUGGGAGGGGCUGCCACCUGCAAAACAAAGUCUUCUUCCUGUACUUCCUCCAGAUCCGGAAUGAUAGGAAUAUCUGCAAGGAGAGGCAGAGGCAACACUGUCUGCAGAACUCACAGGGAUUGUGCCUGCUCCUCCACUUCUUACUCAUUCCCCUUCAACACACCAGCCAUGGGGCUAUGGGCUGGGGCAGGAAGGACAAUCAGAUACAAACUAGGGGUAGGAUCGAAGGUGGAGUUUCAACGAUGUCUCAAUCCCAGGCCUCACUCCAGAAUCUGCUGAGAUAGAACCUCCUGGGUCGGGCUCAAGCAUCCAGAUUUUUUUCCCAGGCGUUCCUUGGUGAUUCUGAUGCGUACGACAGGUUAGGAGCCACUGCAGUGGAUCUCCAAGGAGACAUGUAAAGAAAUAAAUGUAACGAAGGGCUUAUUAGAGGAGAGGAAAGAAGAGGAACUGACAAGUGAGCCUGGCAUGGUCAGGGACAGAGGAACUGAGAAUGUGUAGUGUCACAAAGUGGAUGUCGCAGUGAGUGCCACUCCUCAUGACCCAGAUCUCUAUGUGCAUUAGCCCCAGAGUGCAAUCGUCAGGGCCCUCAGCCUGCAUCUCAAGGGCAUCUUCCACCUAAUGACAUAGCCUGACUCCCUGCGAUCCAGGCCUCCAUUUGCCAGGUCUAACGUAACCAGUGAUGCUGAUUCUACGAUCAUGCUUUGCUUGCUGUCUCAAGAUUUUCCAUCUCUGAACUCUCCAGACAACACACGAGGAGACACGAGGCCAUUUCUUCCACCAGUCCAACAAAAUCAUGCAAAUAGAGAACUGGGAAACCAGUCCAUCCAUUAAUUGUGGCAACUUGCUUAAGAGACCAAAAAUUGUCCAUGUUCUCAUGGGUCAACCUAACAUCCUAAAGAAACAUUUCCUUCUCCGAGUAUCACUGACUGGUUGAGAGAUUUUGUUUUAAACAGUCAGGGGUCGGGGAGAAGGGAGAGAUGGUGCAAGAAAAAAGGCCUGGUGGGGUGAGACAAUCCUGGAAUCCCCAAAGCAACUGUAAACAAGGAAAGAAGGAAAAAUCCCAAAGAUAGACUGGUGAAGACAUCUUUCAUUUCUGCUUUCAUGGAUUGAAUUCAAUCUUAGUUUUAAAAGAGUUGCAAAAUCAUUUCAAGAACAGCUGAGAAGACCCUUGCCACUUUCAGGCAAUUCAUGAUUUAGACUUUUUGAUCACUCUACUCAAGUGACGCCAGAGGAUGAAAAUGUCAGUUCCAAGCCUGGCGUCUUUAUUAUGACUUCCGACUGUGGAGGCACAGAUGUCCUACCUGGAAAAAGAGAGCAUGCAAGGCAGAGACAGACACAGAGAAAAUUCAACAGAAAGAGACAGGCAGAGAAAACAAGGGACAAAGAGUGAAAAGGGAUAAAAAUAGAAAGAAAUUGCUGAUAGGGAAAAUAAAGAAGAGACACAUCCACCACCCCCCAAAUAAUGAACCACAUUUAGCGAGUCUUAUAGCUAGAAAGAAGCUGUUCGGAGCUUAGAUUAUAUCUCUCUACCCUGCUAGAGAAUUGGAUAUGGAACGCUCUAAGAUUCUAUUUCUUAUGCUAAUAGAAAUUUAGCUUUCUUUUUCCCUCCCGUUCUGCGUGAUUAAUACAGUCCAUUGUGCAGGCUGCUGAGAAUGCCGUUCUCCAGGCUGGUAAGACUGCACAGGCCCUGUGGAGGGACAGGGAGGAAGCUGGCUGUGCCACGCACCAUCGGCAGUGUGACAGUUUUGGAGUGCGCCUGGCUCUCCUCGGGUGCAGAGUCCAGCCUGAGAUGAAUAUUCAGAAGUUGAACCCGGUGAACUGCCUGAGUGGGACAGAGCCAGCGAUGACAGCCAGGCCAAGGCAAGCUGGAACAUUCUUGUGCAGUGACAGCUUGAGCCAUCGCAGCAGAGGCAGGCCAUCCAACUCCGGCCCCCAGCAGAACAGGUGUCUGCGGAGCAGGUUUUGGGCAAACUUCAAAGAACUUCACAAUUUUACAGUUUCUGAUUUACAAUCACAGGCAAGUGCUCAUGAGCACAUAAUAUGUUCUGGGGAAUUUUUUUUUCUCUUUAUCUCCUUCCCCCCUCCCCGCUCCCCCACUCUCACAUAUACCAUGAACGAACACAGAAAAAAGAAAACAGACUUAGGAAACUAGCUUUUUCACAAAAUUACCUAUAAGCAGUGAUCCGGCCUGCCUCCAGUAAGAGACAGUGGCGACCUGCAAAGGUGGACUGGUGACGCAGCCUGAUUCAGGUUGUAAAGUAUGACAUGCAAAGCACACGAUUUUAACAGAAACAAUACAAGGAAGACAGGAGUCAGUUCUGGUACUACUGAAAAGCAACCACCAUUUUAAAAAAUCCAAAAAUUAUGUUUACUUUAUUUUCCUUUUCUUCAAUGUUGCUAAUACUGAGAAGAACAUGAACAGCUGCAAUGAGGUCAGGGGCGUGCUAUGUAGAACUCCUUGCUCCAUGGUUAAGAAGCAGGCUCUGGAGGAAGGAGGGUCCGCUUCAAACCCUGGCUCCACCACCUACUAGUUGUGUGACUUUUUCUCUCUAUGCCUCAAUUUCUUCAUCAAUAAAAUGAAGAUCAGACUCACGCCCACCCAGUCAGUUGCUGUAAGUAUUAAAUGCAAUGAUCUUUAUAAAAUACUAGCACUGUGAUCAGUAUAUAAUAUUCAAUAACUAUUCUUAUGGACUUCACCGAUAUUAUAAUAUUACAUAUGUAGAGAAACUACAUGGCUCCACCUUCAUUUUCUCCUGCCCAGUGAUGGCCAUUUUUCAGAAGAAAACACUGAGGCUAAGCAAGAUUAAGCAGCUUGCAUGGAGUGAAUCUAUGAGUAAUGGACUUCAAUGUGGCUGCAAUGCCUGAGCCCUGCCAUGCCCCACACGGGCUUUCUUCUCAAAAGUGAAAUGCCUUCAAAGACACCUCCUCCUAUAGUGAAGGGGUGGGACAGCUGCCCAUGGUCGAGACAGCUUUCACUUAAUGUCCUGUGAAACUUAAUGUCCUCUCUUCUGGGGUCUUUCUCUCGAUUCCAAUAACUAGAGAUAUGCUAAGUCCUCUCCGUUACCAUACACCCUGACUCGCUACUUCUCUACAAGGCUAAAUGGGGCAGAAUGGAAAAAAGGCACCACAUCAGAGUCCCAGAGACUCCGUCUCCACCAACCCUAUCUUAUUAAACUAGCCCCAAGGAGGAGGAGGUGGCCAGGUACCUUGAACAGCCCGAGGAGGGGAAGGUGAGGCAAGAGGGCUUUGAAACCCCCGGCACCAUGGGAGCCGGUAUCCCCAGCUUCCCCGGCAGGCAGUGCCACCGUCACACGGCCGCACUGCUCUCUGCCCCAGCUCUGAUGCUUAAACAGAAGACUCCUUCCUUGCCUUGUGCACUGCUCCUUGCCUCGACAUUGGCUAUCUCACAGCUGUUCAACCUGCUUCUCUGUCCCACGUGGGGCCUGGUCAGCCACGCUAUGAGGAAACUCCAUUUGUCUGCUUGUUCAUUCAUUCUUUCAUUAAUUCGUUCAAGGAUACUGAUGGAACACCCACUACGUGAAAGGUACCAUGCCAGUAACAACAGCAAAUAAAAUAGAUAUGGUCCCUGUCUUCAUGGGGCACCAGUCUGGUGGAGGCUAAUAAACACAAAGAAAGGUACUGCUUACAAAUUAAAAUACACACAAAGAAGGAAACCAACUGGAUUUCAUGAUGGAAAGCAACAGGGAAACCUAAUUAUUUUUCUAAAACAAAAGUAACAUUAUAGGUAGUAAUAAAUUCAAAUGCUAUAGAAAGGUUUAAAAUGAAAAAUGUCCCUUCUGUGAGACCCAGUCAUCUCCCUAGAAGUAAUCACUGUUAACGAUUUUUUCAUAUUUAUUUGCUGAAAAGAAUUCGCGAAUAACACAGCACGUAUGUCCUUUUAAAAAUGCUCACAAAUGGGAUCACACUACACAGACACUGUUCUGCACCUUGCUUGUAUCUUUCCUUAUCAAUAUAUAGAUGUAUUUUACUUCUUUUAAAUGACCUUCUAAUAUUCUAUUGAACACUGCUCCACAAUGCAUUUAAUCCAGUCCAGAGAGGAUUUAAUUUGGGGGUGUGGGAUUAGGGUUAGUAGGGUUAGGGUUGAGGAGUUAAAGAAGGAAGAAUAUGUAUUUCUGCAUUGAGGACAGGGUAGCUGAAGCUGAAGGAGAAGCAGGAUUCAGCCAGGUGGGGAACAACAUUUGCAAAGGUGCUCAGCGGUGAGAAGUAACUGGAAACACUGGAGAAACUGAAGGCGGGACGUUGUGGUUGGGCUACGCCAGACCCCUUCCAAGGCAUGAUGGCGGGAAAUCCAGAGGGACUAAGCAGGACAGAAAAUGCGUGUCCCUUCCUUAGUGGAUCACUUCUGAAUCUAACAAGCAGAAAUAAGAGCUUCCUACUUUAUCCUUCCAUACUACUUUAUUCGUGGCCACAGGGUAGCCCUCGCUACCUUGCAGGUGGUACAAUUCAUGAAAUUUGCCCCAAGUCUGCCUCCUGGAUGGUGAACUAGCUGACAGCAAUGCCACAUCCCAGGCAUCUGUGCAUUCCAAGGACUGGAAAAAUUAGGAACAACUGAAUAGAACUGCAUUCAACAGAUGCUCCUCAGGUCAGGAAGUGACACACACGGAAGAGCCAUGUCAACCUUCUCUACUUCUCUACAUUGUUCCAAUUAGAAUUGCUACUGAGUCCUAAAGCUGCCUGAGUAGGAUUCAUUUCCCAAGGACAAAUAAGAGUAAUCCUUGGCUACUUCCUGGAUUUGAUAACGUCAUAGCAAAGGCUUUGGCUUCCUUCAGAGCUGCAAGGCCCCCUGGGAGAGGCUUGUGCAUAUCCAAGAAACAAUGGAUGUGUGGAGACAAAGUUUCAGAGGAAGAGUCAUUCAAACUUGGUCCAAUAUGGCCCAUCUGGCUUCCAUCCUGAGGCUGGGUCACACUGCUCUUCACCAAUCUCCACAUUCUGGAACCACCCAACAGAGGCUUCUUAACGCACAGCAACAGCAGUACAAAUCUAUUUCAAAAAGAGAGAUCGCCAAAUGGGAAACCCAUCUUGAUACUAGACCACUACUCUGCCGACACCCAACACAUCUACCCAAAAAAUCGUUCAGCAGAUGAUACCACAGAAAUAAAUGGGUGCUGCCUAAAUAAUAGAAACUUAUGGAAUACCAAUAGAUCAAUUACAACUGGUUUCAAAGAUGUGAGCUGUUGGACGUGAGGGCAACUGCCAUUUGGCCUGAAAUACAUUCAUUAUGGAUAAUAUCAUCACAUGCACACACUAAAAUGCUAAUUACCUAGCAAAGUCCCAGAAGGAUCCUUUUCAGUUCCUGUAGCCUGACAGUCAAAAGCCUACCUGCCUCUUCCAAUGAAGCCAGCCCCAAAUCUCUGUGAUGUGUUUUGUGAUAGCAUGCGUUCAGAUCCAGCUGUUGUUUGCCUGUUUGGGUACCGCUAGAACAGAAAGUGACUUCUUAGAUUGGACUCAGCUUGCAAUGAGUAUACCCCAAGCACUACCCAGCUCUUCACCUGGAGUAUAAAUCUAACUCCAGCAGGGAGAGAACAAAGGAGACACCCCAAUCUGGCCCCUGGGUCCCACCCAGGCAGAGAUGCCUCAGGCAGGGAGCUUCUUCCUCUCUGUAACCCUUAACUCUUUGCUAAUUUUCUUGGUUGGGGAUUUCUGAAUAGGAUUCCCUGGUCGUGUUCAGAAGGGCUUCUAGAGAACUACAUAAAGUCUCUUCUGUACUCCAGCACUUUCUCACUUUGACAUCUGAGCAAAUGAUACAAAUGGUUGGCUUAGCUUUCCAGCUUCCUCAGGAUGCUUAAUGAUGACACCACCCCACUCACUUCAUUUACUCAAUGAGCUUCCAAAGGCAAAUGCUGUUUGGUUACACACAUUCUCUUCCCAAACUUCUUUCCCACUCAGUGCCCUGGCCACUGCAGAGCACUCACAGGCUGUUCAAGGCUCAUAUCCACCAUACACAGCCAAGUUCAACAACCAAUCCACAUGAAAGCGAUCUGGACAUGCCGCUUAAGGACACCCCAAUAAGAGCCGUCCAGACAAACCCCUGAUUCUGUGCCCAAAGUCAACAGACAUUCAGAGCUCUCAAGUGGAAGAAAACAAUGCCCAUGUUUUUAGGAAAUGACAACUGAAAACCAGAGAUCAUUAGAAUUUUUCUCUGCAGCUACAAAACUUUGUUUUACUGAAUGCUGUUACCUUCUGCAUCACGUAUGGGGAAUUUUAAACAGGCAAAUGGAAGAAGGUCUGAUUGAAGAUGAAGUUAAGUGAAAGAAAUUGGUCUCAUUUAGCACAUGACAGGAUUCAUCUGUGUUCCCAAGUCCACUGAGGUGGCAUCAUGGGCGUUUCAUAUUCAUGAGCUGCUGCGACACUAUGUCCCCUCAUUUACAAAGAGCCGUGUUCAGCAAAUUCUGUCCCUGUGGACACUCCGUGCAUUUCAUGGUCUUGUCAGAGAGACAUCAAACGCUCCAGUAACCAAAUACCAGAAAAUGGCUUUAAUUAGUGGAUCUCAAUCGUAUAAAUAAUUUUUUUCUAAGUUAAAAAAUGGAGAAUUUUUUAAAAGGGAAAAGAAAAGGGAAAGCAGGAGGCAACAGGCUUCAAACACCCAAAGGAACAAGGGAAAGAGGCAGUCUCAGAGGAGCUCCCGAGCGGUCCCCUGCACUCCUCGAAUCAGGGGACAAGGGGCACAAACACGUCUCAGGUCUCUGGCAGGUCUGCUUUAUGAAGAUGUGUCCCUUGUGAUUUCACCUGAUUAGAGCUGGGUCCAGGGCUGUGCUCGUUACUGGCAGGUAGGAGAAAAAGAGUCUGAAAACUGCGACAGUGGCUACGGAGCCAUGCUGCAAAAGGUGUGGAACAGGACUGACCACAUUCAACAUGCGUGUGGCCCUGCAGACACAGCGAGGCAUAUGGUCAGGAGCCAUGCAGGAGCAGGUCCCCGAGGAGGCAUGCGAUGGGGAGACAGGGAGAGGAGGCCCUGUUCUGCAGUGCCCGUUUGGGGUGCCCAUACGUUGAAAUGCCUCCAUGCUCCUCCAAACUGAAUCUCUCCUGAUACUGCUGGGAAAAAAGAUCACAGACCUUAAGAGGAGGAAGAUCAAAACAGCUGAUUGCUCCUCACAGCCCCCCCAAGCUGUGACAGCUCUCUUGGCUGACAAUGGGUUGGGGAGGGAGGUUUGGACUGAGUUUGGUUUCUGAGGUCAGUCCGGCCUCAGCACAGUUGGGAUCUGGCUGGAUCUUCAGCAAAGAAGGGAGUUUAUAAGCACGUCGACUUGGCUCUGGAGACACUAUGGUGUAUGAAUGCUGGACCUCAUUAUGUUACCCACAGAGGGAUGUUAGCAUGUUUCUGAAGGAGCCACGAAUGUCAUCCCCUAGACAGCAAUGUUCCUGUCAUUCCACCCAGGUCCACUGAAGGUUAUACAAGAAUCAGUAUUGGCAAUGCAAGGUGGUAGCAGCCAGGACUCAGCCUUGCAGGCCUGAGAGUCAGGCAGGGCCCUGAGAGGACUCUCUAUAGGGAAGAGCCUAGCAGUCUCAAAUGACCCCAUUCUGAAGAGGACCCCGGCGUCAUCUGCCCAGGUGACCUUUAGGGAGUAUGGCCCACUGGUUACUGUCAAUUGAAGGAAACGAAGAACAGAGUCCUGCAGUAGCUCUCUCAGAGCCUCGUGGAGGCCCCAGCUUUCAUCUGUGGAAAUGUGUUAAGGACAAGGAGGGGUAAAGGACUUUAAACGUGAUGAAGAAAUAAAGUGGCUAGAAGGAACGGAAGCCGAGGAACUCUCCACUGUCUUCAAUAAGGCCCAAGAUGAGUGAUCUGGUAUUAAUGUGACAGAGAGCACCUUCUCAGAGCCGCCAGUGGAAGAACAUUAGAAACCAGGCAUAUCUGAUUCUAUUUCAUCCUCUUCAUGUUACACUGAGAAAAACAAGACAAACUACACUGCUUUUAUUCUAAAUCCUUAGGUUUUGUAUUUUUCCUUAUAUAUAUUUAUUAAAAAAAUGCUCCUUUGAUCAGUGCCACCCGUGACACCCCCACAUACGGAACGCUUCUGAGCGGCUCCCUCUGCGCAAGGCCACUGCUGGUGACAGCCAACUGGUUUUGAUCACAGCCACUCGGAAUCGAAUUUUCAUAAGACAGAUGAGGAGUCUUACUGCUGCUCGCUCUCUUAUCAGAUGAGAAAUGGGGGGGAGGGGGAGAACGGGUCCUGAGGGAGCAGCGCAACAAUCAAGGGCGGCAGGGCUCUUUCUCUGUCCCUCCGCUGCUGCAAUUUUCAAAGGAGUUCGCCUCCGGCACUUUUAAAUGAUGGUGUCUCAAUUCUGUAAUCAUCUUUCAAAAGCUUUCUCUUAAAGGGUCUUUUAGGUAAACCUAGUUCGUCAACCACACUUAUGGACUCAGGAAUCACAUUGUGUCCUCCUGCGUGUGUAUAUAGACAAGUAUACACACACAGAGAUGUAUGCACAUGCGCACACACACACACAGGACAUCUCUGAAUGUUCAGAAAGCUGGCAGAGCCUAAAGCACGAAAGGAAGAUGCGUCACUUGGCCAUGAAGUUUGCCUCUUGCGAGGGUCAGAGGAUUCCCCAGAUUUCUGCCCUAUGUAGGUUUUGCUGCCUCAAGUCCUCCUUUAGAAACUUAUCUCCAUGUGUGAUGUGUCAGAAGGAAAAGACUUCUCCAACUGAGGGCCAAGUGACGUCCUAAGUCCAACCUCAGAUGCACAAACAUGCCUGUCCCUUCCCAUCUCACCUAGGCAACACCUAGCUGCCAGCCUUCAAACGGAGAAAUGAACCACAGCCUUCUAUUUAGGAGAGCACAGACAGUCACCAGUCAUCCCAGGCCACAACCUGCUGUGUUCUGGGUUACAAAGACUAUUUGGAGCAACUCUACAACUCCACCUAUCUUUUUCCAUUGCAGAGAACAUGGUGCCUUUUCUUUAUAUAGUCCCUGUCACUGGAAACAGACACCUUAGAAUACUGAGCCUGUCUUUCUUUCUGGUCAAAUAAAAAUCAAAGCAGUUUAAGAUCUCCCUGGGCAGUGGUCCUCAUCCAUCUAAGGCCGCUCUCCUGCUCGCAUCCUCAUUCACCCGCUCCUGUCACAACUGUGUGGAGGUGGGAAGUGCUCGUGCCUCUUCCUGAAAGCUGAAACACCACAUACAGUCACAUCUGGGACAGUCUCACAAAACUAAAUGGGAUUGGCUUUGUCCUAUCCUGAUCCUGUCUUCUGUAUUAAAUGGGGACAGAAUCCAAGGAGUUACAGCAUACAAACCUGAUCUCUAUAAUGAUUUUGGGGAGAUUUAACUCUCUUUUCCUUUUGUCAGUGCUCAAUGCUGGAUGAUUUGCUAUUAAUCACAAUCCUCCUAACAGACUAUAGCACGACAGAAUACUGACAGAGCUUUCUCUCUGUGUUCCUGGAGGAAGGUUAAUACAACCUGCUUCGUUUAAAACAUGCAUGUGUGCACAAGACUUCUGUUUUCAUUCUUCACAUUCUACCUCUUCAGAUGCAUGCAAGCAAGCGGCUCACAUAACAAGGAAAAUGGAAUCCCAGAGACGUUACUACUGUCAACCUUGUUUUGAGCAGGGAUGUUCGUGAUGGUAUGUUCGGAAAGUCUGGUGUGACCCAGACAUUUCAGGGCAUAGUUAGGGACUCUGGCCUAGCCCUGCCAAUGCAAGAGGAGGUCUGGUCAAGUCUCAUAGUCCAGUGGUGCUCUGUGGAAUUUCAGUUCUCACCAAACCUCCCAAACUCUCCAAUACUCACGCUGCAAUCUGUACAAGCCCAGUGAAACUCCUCCAGCCCUAAAAUAGGUUCUCUCCUCUGGAGGAUUUAGCACAGGCACUCUUCAACUCAUCAUGUAAAAGUAAUCUCCAUGGAUUUGAUGGAAAAAAGAGAGGAACGGUCAAACCUGAAGAUCUGCUUCAUGUCAUGAGAGCUUUAAAGACCUGGUCUCUUGUGUUUGUCUCUAGCCAGCCCAGGCCCUGCUGUAGACAAGACUUGACAAUGAGAGGAGCAACAGAACUGAGGACAUGGCCAAGAAGUAAAGCUGAGAAUCGUGAUGGGGGAGCCGAUAUGCAACAGGCGGCUGGAGAACAGGUGGAGAUGGGUCUCCUCCAUAAGUAGGGCUGUGAGCAGUGGGGGUUAGGAGACACAAAGACCACGUCCGAGUCCCAGCACCAUCAUUUCCCAGCUGUGGUGUGCUGGAGCAGCUCGCACUGGCCCCAAAGGGCCACUUGCUAAAUUCUUAGGAAUUUUGCCUGCAGGUUGUCAAACGAAAACAUCAUUAAGGAUGAAAUUAUACAUUCUUAUAAUUAAGUAAAUUAUACUAAAAAGAAAGGUAAUAAAUACUCA